CUGGGCGUAAGGAUGCGUAGGCGGAUAUUUAAGUGAGAUGUGAAAUUCCCGGGCUUAACUUGGGAGCUGCAUUUCAAACUGGAUAUCUAGAGUGUGGGAGAGGAGAAUGGAAUUCCUAGUGUAGCGGUGAAAUGCGUAGAGAUUAGGAAGAACACCAGUGGCGAAGGCGAUUCUCUGGACCAUAACUGACGCUGAGGCAUGAAAGCGUGGGUAGCAAACAGGAUUAGAUACCCUGGUAGUCCACGCCGUAAACGAUGAGUACUAGGUGUAGGAGGGUCCAACCUUCUGUGCCGCAGUUAACACAAUAAGUACUCCGCCUGGGAAGUACGAUCGCAAGAUUAAAACUCAAAGGAAUUGACGGGGGCCCGCACAAGCAGCGGAGCAUGUGGUUUAAUUCGAAGCAACGCGAAGAACCUUACCUGGACUUGACAUCCCCUGAAUUACUCGUAAUGGAGGAAGCCCUUCGGGGCAGGGAGACAGGUGGUGCAUGGUUGUCGUCAGCUCGUGUCGUGAGAUGUUAGGUUAAGUCCUGCAACGAGCGCAACCCUUAUCAUUAGUUGCUACCAUUAAGUUGAGCACUCUAGUGAGACUGCCCGGGUUAACCGGGAGGAAGGUGGGGAUGACGUC
RNAcentral lists this ribosomal RNA (627 nucleotides) under uncultured bacterium. RNAcentral's name for it is "bacterial SSU rRNA". It matches the Rfam family "Bacterial small subunit ribosomal RNA", at positions 554 to 1186 of the family's 1533-position model. The record is from RNAcentral.